CCUACGGGAGGCAGCAGUGAGGAAUAUUGGUCAAUGGACGAGAGUCUGAACCAGCCAAGUAGCGUGAAGGAUGACUGCCCUAUGGGUUGUAAACUUCUUUUAUAUGGGAAUAAAAUGUUCCACGUGUGGGUUUUUGUAUGUACCAUAUGAAUAAGGAUCGGCUAACUCCGUGCCAGCAGCCGCGGUAAUACGGAGGAUCCGAGCGUUAUCCGGAUUUAUUGGGUUUAAAGGGAGCGUAGGUGGAUUGUUAAGUCAGUUGUGAAAGUUUGCGGCUCAACCGUAAAAUUGCAGUUGAGACUGGCAGUCUUGAGUACAGUAGAGGUGGGCGGAAUUCGUGGUGUAGCGGUGAAAUGCUUAGAUAUCACGAAGAACACCGAUUGCGAAGGCAGCUCACUGGACUGCAACUGACACUGAGGCUCGAAAGUGUGGGUAUCAAACAGGAUUAGAUACCCGUGUAGUC
Molecule: ribosomal RNA, 460 nt
Filed under: uncultured bacterium
Lineage: Bacteria
Description: partial 16S ribosomal RNA
Rfam family: Bacterial small subunit ribosomal RNA
Source: RNAcentral